Molecule: ribosomal RNA, 123 nt
Filed under: Acarospora schleicheri
Lineage: Eukaryota; Fungi; Ascomycota; Lecanoromycetes; Acarosporales; Acarosporaceae
Description: partial large subunit ribosomal RNA
Rfam family: Eukaryotic large subunit ribosomal RNA
Source: RNAcentral
GUUGACCUCGGAUCAGGUAGGGAUACCCGCUGAACUUAAGCAUAUCAAUAAGCGGAGGAAAAGAAACCAACAGGGAUUGCCUCAGUAACGGCGAGUGAAGCGGCAACAGCUCAAAUUUGAAAU